GGAGUUGGCCGCACGAUCGCUGCUUGAAUUUGUUCAAGGAGAGGAAAGUCCGGGCUCCAUAGGGCAGGGUGCCAGAUAACGUCUGGGGGGCGUGAGCCCACGGCCAGUGCAGCAGAGAGUAUACCGCCGAUGGCUAUUUAGGUAGCACAGGUAAGGGUGAAAGGGUGCGGUAAGAGCGCACCGCGCGUCCGGUAACGGUACGCGGCAUGGUAAACCCCACUCGGAGCAAGACCAAAUAGGUUCCCUGAGGUGCGGCCCGCACUGGGAACGGGUAGGUUGCUUGAGCUUUGGAGCGAUCCAAAGCCUAGAUGAAUGAUCGUGACCUUGUUCGCAAGGGACAGAACCCGGCUUAUGGCCAACUCCACUU
RNAcentral lists this RNase P RNA (367 nucleotides) under Bermanella marisrubri. RNAcentral describes it as "Bacterial RNase P class A". It matches the Rfam family "Bacterial RNase P class A". Rfam says of the family: Ribonuclease P (RNase P) is a ubiquitous endoribonuclease, found in archaea, bacteria and eukarya as well as chloroplasts and mitochondria. Its best characterised activity is the generation of mature 5'-ends of tRNAs by cleaving the 5'-leader elements of precursor-tRNAs. Cellular RNase Ps are ribonucleoproteins. The record is from Rfam by way of RNAcentral. Lineage: Bacteria; Pseudomonadati; Pseudomonadota; Gammaproteobacteria; Oceanospirillales; Oceanospirillaceae.